GGAUAACCUGCCCUUGGGUCCGGCAUAACCCCGGGAAACUGGGGAUAAUUCCGGAUAACGCACAUAUGCUGGAAUGCUUUAUGCGUAAAAUGGAUUCGUCUGCCCAAGGAUGGGUCUGCGGCCUAUCAGGUAGUAGUGGGUGUAAUGUACCUACUAGCCGACGACGGGUACGGGUUGUGAGAGCAAGAGCCCGGAGAUGGAUUCUGAGACAUGAAUCCAGGCCCUACGGGGCGCAGCAGGCGCGAAAACUUUACAAUGCGGGAAACCGUGAUAAGGGGACACCGAGUGCCAGCGUCAUACGCUGGCUGUCCAGGUGUGUAAAAUACACCUGUUAGCAAGGGCCGGGCAAGACCGGUGCCAGCCGCCGCGGUAACACCGGCGGCCCGAGUGGUGAUCGUGAUUAUUGGGUCUAAAGGGUCCGUAGCCGGUUUGGUCAGUCCUCCGGGAAAUCUGAUAGCUCAACUGUUAGGCUUUCGGGGGAUACUGCCAGGCUUGGAACCGGGAGAGGUAAGAGGUACUACAGGGGUAGGAGUGAAAUCUUGUAAUCCCUGUGGGACCACCUGUGGCGAAGGCGUCUUACCAGAACGGGUUCGACGGUGAGGGACGAAAGCUGGGGGCACGAACCGGAUUAGAUACCCGGGUAGUCCCAGCCGUAAACGAUGCUCGCUAGGUGUCAGGCAUGGCGCGACCGUGUCUGGUGCCGCANGGGAAGCCCUGAAGCGAGCCACCUGGGGAAGUACNGNCGCAAGGCUGAAACUUAA
Molecule: ribosomal RNA, 761 nt
Filed under: uncultured archaeon
Lineage: Archaea
Description: bacterial SSU rRNA
Rfam family: Archaeal small subunit ribosomal RNA
Source: RNAcentral